This 251-nucleotide ribosomal RNA is filed under the name uncultured bacterium. Its description in RNAcentral is "partial 16S ribosomal RNA". It matches the Rfam family "Bacterial small subunit ribosomal RNA", at positions 1251 to 1500 of the family's 1533-position model. The record is from RNAcentral.
GAGCCUGCGAGGGGGAGGCGAAUCGCUAAAAGACCGUCCCAGUUCGGAUUGCAGGCUGCAACCCGCCUGCAUGAAGUUGGAAUCGCUAGUAAUCGCGGAUCAGCAUGCCGCGGUGAAUACGUUCCCGGGCCUUGUACACACCGCCCGUCACACCAUGAGAGUCGGGAACACCCGAAGUCCGUAGCCUGACCGCAAGGGGGGCGCGGCCGAAGGUGGGUUCGAUAAUUGGGGUGAAGUCGUAACAAGGUAGC